ACAAAGGCUCUUUUCAGAGCCACCAACUGAUCUUUCAAAAAGGGU
This is a non-coding RNA of Cavia porcellus (domestic guinea pig), 45 nucleotides long. The record is from Rfam. Lineage: Eukaryota; Metazoa; Chordata; Mammalia; Rodentia; Caviidae.